This 253-nucleotide ribosomal RNA is filed under the name uncultured bacterium. RNAcentral's name for it is "partial 16S ribosomal RNA". It matches the Rfam family "Bacterial small subunit ribosomal RNA", at positions 524 to 776 of the family's 1533-position model. The record is from RNAcentral.
UACGUAGGGGGCAAGCGUUGUCCGGAAUCAUUGGGCGUAAAGAGCGUGUAGGCGGCUCGGUAAGUCCGCUGUAAAAGUCCAGGGCUCAACCCUGGAAAGCCGGUGGAAACUGUCAAGCUUGAGUCCGGAAGAGGCGAGUGGAAUUCCUGGUGUAGCGGUGAAAUGCGCAGAUAUCAGGAGGAACACCAAUGGCGAAGGCAGCUCGCUGGGACGGUACUGACGCUGAGACGCGAAAGCGUGGGGAGCAAACAGG